GUGGGGAUUAGUGGCGAACGGGUGACUAUACGUGGGCAAUCUGCCCUGCACUCUGGGACAAGCCCUGGAAACGGGGUCGAAUACCGGAUACUGACCUGCCAAGGCAUCUUGGCGGGUCGAAAGCUCCGGCGGUGCAGGAUGAGCCCGCGGCCUAUCAGCUUGUUGGUGAGGUAAUGGCUCACCAAGGCGACGACGGGUAGCCGGCCUGAGAGGGCGACCGGCCACACUGGGACUGAGACACGGCCCAGACUCCUACGGGAGGCAGCAGUGGGGAAUAUUGCACAAUGGGCGAAAGCCUGAUGCAGCGACGCCGCGUGAGGGAUGACGGCCUUCGGGUUGCAAACCUCUUUCAGCAGGGAAGAAGCGAAAGUGACGGUACCUGCAGAAGAAGCGCCGGCUAACUACGUGCCAGCAGCCGCGGUAAUACGUACGGCGCAAGCGUUGUCCGGAAUUAUUGUGCGUAAAGAGCUCCUAGGCGCUUUGUCGUGUCUAUUGAGAAAGAUCUCAUCCUACCCUUGGUUUCUCUAUCUUUACCUGGUAUGCGUAAUCGUU
This 552-nucleotide ribosomal RNA is filed under the name Streptomyces sp. GRD. Its description in RNAcentral is "bacterial SSU rRNA". It matches the Rfam family "Bacterial small subunit ribosomal RNA", at positions 85 to 650 of the family's 1533-position model. Lineage: Bacteria; Bacillati; Actinomycetota; Actinomycetes; Kitasatosporales; Streptomycetaceae. The record is from RNAcentral.